This is a long non-coding RNA of Clupea harengus (Atlantic herring), 1922 nucleotides long. RefSeq lists it as uncharacterized. NCBI's taxonomy places the organism in Eukaryota, Metazoa, Chordata, Actinopteri, Clupeiformes, Clupeidae. The transcript is spliced from 5 exons. The record is from RefSeq and is a predicted model, not a curated record.
AGCGUCUUGCUAACUCUGUCCAACGGAUUUUAUGUUCGUCAUUUGCAUGUAUCAGGUGGGUCACGUUUUGCACUUGUGUGUUUUGUGCACGUGUUAGCUCUUUCUUCGAAUGUAUGGGACAGAGGAGCUGAGCGUCUUGCUAACUCUGUCCAACGGAUUUUAUGUUCGUCAUUUGCAUGUAUCAGGAAGCAGCAAUAAACGUGUGAACAUCAGGUCGGUGGCUGUGUCCUUCUUAAACAAACACAACGCAGAGUGAAACAGCGAGGGGAAGAUAACCUCCGUUACAUAUAUUUAUUUCAAUCAUCAGUGAUUUAAUCAGAGAUCCGCCAAGGGAACAUGAAUCUAUAGAAACAUUAGCAUUAUACCACCGCCUGUCUUCCAUGUCACAUGAUAAUAGUAAAGCAGGAAACCGUAAUAUAAGGUAAGCCUAUCUGAUGCAGUGUUCUGUCACAGCCAGUGUCAUCGUGGAAUAUGAAAGUAAGAGUGUUCUGUGGAGCAUAUCACUCUGAGCAAUCAGACACUUCUCAACACGGCUGCCAGUUGACGCUAUAUUUCCUACCCUGAUCUGGGCACUCUGGCUCCUCACAAUGAUUUGUCUAGAGAGAUGUCAGAUCGUAGUUGCCCUCGCUCCCUUGCUUCUCUUAACGUUGGGGUCGAUGCACCUGCACAACUGUCCCAAGGAGCCCAUGGUCCCCAUCUAUGUAAUUGUGGGAUCUGCAUUCUUCCUGGUCUUACAGCUAUUUGCACUGUGUGGGCAAGAUACAAGGUGCUUCAAAGCCAGUGCCAGUCUGAUCUUCGCCUUUCUCUUCUGCUGGCUGAUUGCAGGUAGUGUGUUUGUCUACAGAGCAUUUCAACCCAACUAUGAGUCCAGACAAUCUCCGGAAUAUUGUGAGAAGAUUCUCUAUCAGGCUGCAUUCUGGUGUACCAACCUGGCAUGGGUGUGCAUAGUGAUUUUUGGGAUUUGUGGGUUGUGCUUUCUCUUAUGCACUAUAUCCUGUAACAAAAACAGGGAAGGUGACAGUGAAAUGGGAGAGAAUCCUCCCCCUCAAGAUUAGAAUUCACUUCAUCAUAAAGUUUCCCUAGUACACUCAAAAUGUAGUUUUUUAACAUUUCAGAACAGAAACACAAUGGUAAAGCUUUGUCUUAAAACCACAGAUUUAGAGCCGCAGGGCUCCACAGAGCUGCCACUGCACUGUAGCUUUGACAGUGAUGCUGAUCGAGCAGCCCAGCAUGCUUGUGUUGUUUCAACACCAUUAUCAGAACGGGGAGCAGGAAACGUAGUGGAUCACCCAUUUGGACACCACAGUGACUCAGCUCCUCUGACCCAUUAAGGCUACCCCUCACCCUUCUCCCUAAAACAGAAACAACCUCUCCUGUGAGCGCAGCGUGACGUUUUCUUCUCCUUGAACCGGUCUCGUGCAAAUUGUUGAUUGUUCCCUUGUGGCCUUGUACUCCUGCCAAAUCCUCCUACAUGUUCAUGGUAUUGCGGAAUGCUGGCAGUGUAACAUAUCUCCCACAUCCCUGCAGAGACCAUGUUUCCCUGUAUGACUGCAUACAGUAAUAGUGCCCUACUGCUCAGUAGCUACAGGUCAAAUACACUGGGAGUGCCUUAAGCAUCUGCUACUGCAACCACUAGCAAAAGCCUAAAGCUAAGUAAACACCUGUUUUACUGCAGAUAGCAUAUCGUCUUUGUUUUUUUUAAAUGCAUGUACUUUUGGACUUUUUUAAUGGUCUGUGAUCUUUGCAAUACAAUGAUAUUACCAAACCUAAAUCCACAUUUAGUAUUCUUGUAGAGUUCCUGUUCCAUUGUGGAGUAUUGCCUCUAUGAUUGCUGUCAUGUAUCCAGAAAUAACUAACUGUAAUCACGUGCCAAUGAGAACCAGUGGUGUACUUAUAAAUAAAUCUGACUUGGAGCCACAACA